Molecule: transfer RNA, 74 nt
Filed under: Gemmatimonadota bacterium
Lineage: Bacteria; Pseudomonadati; Gemmatimonadota
Also listed under: 2 other names
Description: Gemmatimonadetes bacterium tRNA-Arg
Rfam family: tRNA
About the family: Transfer RNA (tRNA) molecules are approximately 80 nucleotides in length. Their secondary structure includes four short double-helical elements and three loops (D, anti-codon, and T loops).
Source: RNAcentral
GCCCCCGUAGCUCAGCUGGAUAGAGCGGGCGCCUCCUAAGCGCCAGGCCAGAGGUUCGAAUCCUCUCGGGGGCA